CCUACGGGAGGCAGCAGUGGGGAAUAUUGCACAAUGGGCGCAAGCCUGAUGCAGCAACGCCGCGUGAGGGAUGACGGCCUUCGGGUUGUAAACCUCUUUUAGCAGGGAAGAAGCGAGAGUGACGGUACCUGCAGAAAAAGCACCGGCUAACUACGUGCCAGCAGCCGCGGUAAUACGUAGGGUGCAAGCGUUAUCCGGAAUUAUUGGGCGUAAAGAGCUCGUAGGCGGUUUGUCGCGUCUGCUGUGAAAUCUGGGGGCUCAACCCCCAGCCUGCAGUGGGUACGGGCAGACUAGAGUGCGGUAGGGGAGAUUGGAAUUCCUGGUGUAGCGGUGGAAUGCGCAGAUAUCAGGAGGAACACCGAUGGCGAAGGCAGAUCUCUGGGCCGUAACUGACGCUGAGGAGCGAAAGGGUGGGGAGCAAACAGGCUUAGAUACCCUGGUAGUCCACCCGUAAACGUUGGGAACUAGUUGUGGGGUCCAUUCCACGGAUUCCGUGACGCAGCUAACGCAUUAAGUUCCCCGCUGGGGAUACGGCCGCAAGGCUAAAACUCAAAGAUAGUACGGCGUGNGAGACGCGACGACGACGACGACGGAGGAG
RNAcentral lists this ribosomal RNA (598 nucleotides) under uncultured bacterium. RNAcentral describes it as "bacterial SSU rRNA". It matches the Rfam family "Bacterial small subunit ribosomal RNA", at positions 338 to 1335 of the family's 1533-position model. The record is from RNAcentral.